This is a long non-coding RNA of Magallana angulata, 311 nucleotides long. RefSeq lists it as uncharacterized. Lineage: Eukaryota; Metazoa; Mollusca; Bivalvia; Ostreida; Ostreidae. The record is from RefSeq and is a predicted model, not a curated record. The transcript is spliced from 3 exons.
AGAUGAUUACCAUCAACAGUUUGUUUGUGUCCUAUAUCCCGUGCCUGGGGAGCCCUUGCCGUCUGUAUUGUGAGCCCUGUCUUUUCGAUUUGUUCUAGGAAUAGGUUCAUUUUCCUUAUCCAUAUCAUGGCUUGGCUCAAGACGGACUCCACUCUCCUCAUUCUUUGACCUUAAAUCUGUGUACCGCUUCUUAGCUUUAAAAGAGGUUCCAAGCUUCCACCAUCUGGUUCUUGAUCGGGCCCAAGACGGACUCCACUUUCCUCAUUCUGCUCUGCCAUCAAUCCUGUGUACUGCUCAUGAGCUGAAAAAAG